AGCGAACGUUAGCGGCGGGCCUAACACAUGCAAGUCGAACGGAUCGUAGCAAUACGGUCAGUGGCGCACGGGUGAGUAACGCGUAGAUAAUCUACCUUCCAGCGGGGGAUAACGUUCCGAAAGGAACGCUAAUACCGCAUAAGACCACGGAGUCUUCGGGCUUUGGGGGAAAAGGUGGCCUCUCCUUGGAAGCUAUCACUGGAAGAUGAGUCUGCGUCCCAUCAGCUAGUUGGUGAGGUAAUGGCUCACCAAGGCUAAGACGGGUAGCUGGUCUGAGAGGAUGAUCAGCCACACUGGUACUGGAACACGGACCAGACUCCUACGGGAGGCAGCAGUGGGGAAUAUUGGGCAAUGGGCGGAAGCCUGACCCAGCCACGCCGCGUGAGUGAUGAAGGCCUUCGGGUUGUAAAGCUCUGUGGGAAGGGGCGAAAAACUGCGAAGAGAAUAUCUAGCAGGUUGACGGUACCUUCUUAGCAAGCACCGGCUAACUCUGUGCCAGCAGCCGCCGUAA
Molecule: ribosomal RNA, 511 nt
Filed under: uncultured bacterium
Lineage: Bacteria
Description: bacterial SSU rRNA
Rfam family: Bacterial small subunit ribosomal RNA
Source: RNAcentral